AAGAGCUUCAUCAGGUUAAGAUUUUUUCUUUAUUCAGGUUCAAGCUACGCCAAGCUUGAUUCACAUGACCAGGUUGAUAAUUCAAAUCCUUCUGUAUGUGGUCCUGUAUUGGAUACAGAUUCAACAAGCAGCCAUGUGACAUAAUUAUCUCAGAAUUCACGUGGCCUGUUCCUAAUAUUAGUAAUCAUACAGACCUGCCUCAUCCAUCCCAAUGCCCUACUUCUGGUUGGCGUCUCAUCACUUGGAGGUCACUCAUUGCUGCUGUGGUGGCUUUGCCUGGACACCCUGGAGAUACAUAAGAUAACUGUGGAUAAUACUAUUCGCAAACCAUGAGGAUGUCUUAGGUUUAAAAGCACCGUACGAAGAACAGCAACCGUGGGGACUAUUUUCAGUGGACGAAGAAAUCAGUGAUGCCCUCUAUAUUUAAAGGACUGACUUGUGUUCGAAGCAGUUGCCUAAAACGAAUGUGGCUACACCGACGAAGAAAUAGACUCAAGUGAAUUCCAUAACACAGCAAUCCCACUGCUCCUGGCUCCUGUCCUGUACCCACUCAUCACUCAUCAAGCUAGCCAUCUGGCCUUUUUCUUCACCUUCUCAACCUGAUCAUGUACAGCAACAAGCUGAGAAAUCUGUGCUGAAGACUUGGACAACUUGGAAUUUUCACUUAACUUGUUUCUUAUCAUCAAGAGAGAGAAAA
Tachysurus fulvidraco (yellow catfish) is the source of this 697-nucleotide long non-coding RNA. RefSeq lists it as uncharacterized. The record is from RefSeq and is a predicted model, not a curated record. NCBI's taxonomy places the organism in Eukaryota, Metazoa, Chordata, Actinopteri, Siluriformes, Bagridae. The transcript has 2 exons.